UACGAAGGGGGCUAGCGUUGUUCGGAAUUACUGGGCGUAAAGCGCGCGUAGGCGGUGAUCCAUGUCAGAGGUGAAAUCCCGGGGCUCAACUCCGGAACUGCCUUUGAAACGGGAUCGCUAGAGUCCGAGAGAGGAUGGCGGAAUUCCUAGUGUAGAGGUGAAAUUCGUAGAUAUCGGGAGGAACACCUGUGGCGAAAGCGGCUCACUGGACCACAACUGACGCUGAGGCGCGAAAGCUAGGGGAGCAAACAGG
This 253-nucleotide ribosomal RNA is filed under the name uncultured bacterium. RNAcentral describes it as "partial 16S ribosomal RNA". It matches the Rfam family "Bacterial small subunit ribosomal RNA", at positions 524 to 776 of the family's 1533-position model. The record is from RNAcentral.